UACGAGGGAUCCUAGCGUUGUUCGGAAUCAUUGGGCGUAAAGGGUGCGUAGGUGGCCAUACAAGUCAGUUGUGAAAGCCCCGGGCUCAACCCGGGAAGUGCUUCUGAGACUGUUUGGCUUGAGUACUAGAGAGGCGAGUAGAAUUCCAGGUGUAGUGGUGAAAUACGUAGAUAUCUGGAGGAAUACCGGUGGCGAAGGCGGCUCACUGGCUAAGUACUGACACUGAAGCACGAAAGCAUGGGGAUCAAACAAG
Molecule: ribosomal RNA, 253 nt
Filed under: uncultured bacterium
Lineage: Bacteria
Description: partial 16S ribosomal RNA
Rfam family: Bacterial small subunit ribosomal RNA
Source: RNAcentral